RNAcentral lists this unclassified non-coding RNA (952 nucleotides) under Hevea brasiliensis (rubber tree). Lineage: Eukaryota; Viridiplantae; Streptophyta; Magnoliopsida; Malpighiales; Euphorbiaceae. The record is from RNAcentral.
GAAGAAUUUAAAAAUGAAGUUAUGUUGAUUGCAAAGCUUCAACAUAGGAAUCUAGUGAAACUUCUUGGAUGCUGUAUUCAGGGAGGAGAGCAAAUGUUAAUUUAUGAAUAUUUGCCAAACAAAAGUUUGGACUCAUUUCUUUUUGAUCAAACAAGAAAAUCAUUGCUUGAUUGGAGGAAACGCUUCAACAUAAUAAUAGGGAUUGCUCGUGGGAUCUUAUAUCUUCACCAAGACUCAAGGUUGAGAAUUAUUCAUAGGGAUUUAAAAUGUAGCAAUAUUCUAUUAGAUGAAGAGAUGAACCCAAAAAUUUCAGAUUUUGGCAUGGCUAGAAUAUUCAAAGCUGACCAAAUUCAAGAAAAGACAAACCGAGUUGUUGGAACAUAUGGGUAUAUGUCACCAGAGUAUGCAGUGUUUGGAAAGUUUUCAAUAAAAUCUGAUGUGUUUAGUUUUGGCAUCAUAUUGUUGGAGAUAGUGAGUGGCAAGAAGAGCACUGGGUUUUACCAAGAGGAUUCUUGCUUGAGCUUGAUAGGACAUAUGUGGAAGUUAUGGGAAGAGCAAAGAGUGUUGGAGAUGGUUGAUUCAUCACUAGAAGGAUCAUAUCCUCCCCAAGAAGCCCUGAGAUGCACUCAAAUUGGGCUCUUAUGUGUUACAGAAAAUGCUGUGGACAGACCAACUAUGUCAGAAGUUGUAGUGAUGUUGAGUAGCGAAACAGCUGCUCUUCCCUCUCCAAAACAACCUGCUUUCAUUUUCAGAACAUCUUGUAGCAAUGCUAUAUCUCUAGCAAUAGGGGAAGAGGAAGACUCAUCUUCCAUCAAUGAGGUUACAAUGGUUAGCUUUGUCACCCGCUAAAGAUUAUAAAUGUGUAUGUAAAUUGUAAUUAUAGACUCAAUCUAGUAGUCUAUUUGGGAAUUUCAGAAAAAUUCCUCCAUCAUAGGACUUAACUAGUCGAAUG